This 467-nucleotide ribosomal RNA is filed under the name uncultured bacterium. Its description in RNAcentral is "partial 16S ribosomal RNA". It matches the Rfam family "Bacterial small subunit ribosomal RNA", at positions 28 to 507 of the family's 1533-position model. The record is from RNAcentral.
GAUGAACGCUGGCGGCGCGCCUAACACAUGCAAGUCGAACGAUUAAAGCACCUUCGGGUGUGUAUAGAGUGGCUAACGGCUAAGUAACACGUGGUCAACCUGCCCCUCUCAUUGGGAUAGCCACCGGAAACCGUGGAUAAUACCGAAUACUUCGGGACUUCCGCAUGGAAGACUCGACAAAGCUCCUGCGGAGAGUGAUGGGCCAGCGGCCUGUUAGCUUGUUGGUGGGGUAAUGGCCUACCAAGGAAAUGAUGGGUAGCUGGGUUGAGAGACCGACCAGCCAGCCUGGGACUGAGACACGGACGACACUCAUACGGACGGCAGCCGUGGGGAAUGUUGCAUAAUGGGCGAACGAAUGCCGCAGCGACGCAGGGCGCGGGAUGAAGGAAUUCGGGCGGUAAAUCGCCUUCAGCAGGGACGAGGCGAAAGUGACGGUAACUUCAGAAGAAGCCACGGCUAACCACGUG